UAGUAAUUCAAAGGGGUUAUUAAGGAUUAAUAGCAAAUUUAUAAAAUAGGAAAUUAAAGCCAGACAUAUAAGCAUUUCACUUAUUAUGAAAAUUUGAGUAUGAAUUUAUUCAAAAGUAAUAAUUUGUGUAAGGCUUAUAUUAAGAAUCUGAGAAAAUAAAAAUAAAAUUAUUUUCUAAGCGAUCCUAAAGGGAAACCUUAAAUUAAAAUCUACUUCCUGAAGUAAAACAUUUUAUUAAGGAAAGGAAAGGAAAUCAACCGAGACUCCGAGAGUAAUGGCGAGUGAAAUCGGAUUAGCCUAAAUUAAAUUAUAAAUUGAAAGUUAGUGUAAUAUGUUAUUGAAAGAUAAUAUAAAAAAUUACAAAUUAUAUUCGACUUAAGUAAACCUAGAAGAUAUAAUUAACUACAAAAGGUAAUAACAAAUAGUCCUGUAAGUUUAUAAUUUAAUAGAUUUUAGCAAAUAUAUAACCUCUUCUAGAAAGGAGAACGUUAUGUAAAAAUAUAAAAUAGUAGGAUGAGAGAAAACUUGUUUAAACAAAGGGGAACCAUCCUCUAAGGCUAAGUAUUAUAAAUUUAGCGAUAGUGAAAAGUACUGUGAAGGAAAUUAAUUGAAAAUGUCUCUUUUAAUGAGAAAAUGAAAAAGUUUAUGAAUUAGUAACCCUAUAAGCAGUCGAAGUUCUACUCUUUAGUUUAUAAAGAGAUAAAUGAAUGACGGCGUACCUUUUGCAUAAUGGGUCAGCAAGUUAAUAGGAGUAGCAAGGUUAAAAGCCCUAGCGAAAGCGACUGCAUUGUAAUAUUACGGUUUUUUUGUAUUAACUGUAAUAACAGUGGCGGAUUAGUUACUUAUAUUAGACCCGAAGGGAGGUGAUCUUAUCAGGACCAGAUUAUAAUGGAUCGAACGGGUGAGUGUUGCAUUACUCUCCGAAGAGUUCUGAUAAGCGGUGAAAUGCCAAUCUGACCUCCUUCUAGCUGGUUUUCUACGAAACAUAUUAAAGUAUGAGUUCUAUUCAAAAUUUAUGGAGGUACAGAACGGCAAUAUCCAACAAGAGAAAGAGUUUGAUUAAAAAUCAAAAAAUCUUUCUGGCGUUUAGGUAGCGGGGACCUCGAAAAUCUUACCUGUGAUAGGGAAGCUCGGAAUUACAUAAAUUGAUGAUAGAAAUUCAGACUGCUCAUGCUAAGGUGGGUAGUCAAGACGGAAAUAGCCGUUAACAUUGAUCAAGGUCCCAAAUGAUUGUCUAGUGAAUAUAAAGAUAAUAACAUUAUAUACUUAUUCAGCUGUGAAGUUAGCCUGGUAGUCGCUACUUAUAAUGAACGUUGUAACAACGCAUCAGCAGUCUAUAGUCAUGUUGUACUGAAAAUUCAACGGGUCUAAAACAAUCAACCGAUAUCAUGUUAAUUUUGAAUAAGAAUGUUUAAUAAGAAAUCUGAAUCUAAAUUUUAGAAAGUAUUAUUAAAUUUUAUUCAAAGUUUAGGUAGUAGAACAUUCAGUAAAACUGAUAAAAUAGCAGUGUUUCAUUGUUAUUAGGUUACUGAAGAGAGAAUGCUGACAUGAGUAACGUAAAAAGAAGUUAAAAAUCUUCUCGCCGAAUACGAAAGGUUUUCACUAAAAAGUUAGGCUAUUAGUGAUUUAAUGCGGUCUCUAAGGCACAGACCAAAUGGUUAGGCCGAUGAGUAUAAAAUAGAAAGUCCUUUUAAAAAAAUAAGAAAAGGACCAGGAAAAUAAUAUUUUAUAUAAUUUAUUUCUUACUAAAAAAAAAUUAGUAGAAAGUAAUUAUAAUAUUUCUCUGAAAAGAGUAAAUAUCUACCGUACCCUAAACCGACACAGGUUCGUUCGUAGAGUAUACCCAGGCGUAGAGCUAAAAGUUGUUAAGGAACUCGGCAAGUUCACCUCAUAAGUUUGACGACAAGAGGUACCGUUUCUCUUUAAAAAAGUUUAUUAACUAUAAAAAUUAUUAAUUUAUAGUUAUUUUUUAAAGUUAAUACGGUGGCACAGAAUCGGAGGCCCCGACUGUUUACUAAAAACACAGCUCAGUGCAAUCAUAAAAAUGAUAGUAUACUGAGUGAGAUUUGCCCGAUGCCAUUAAUAUAAGAGCGGUCAUUACAUAAAAGUGACUUAUCGAAAAUCUGGUUAAUAGCGGUCUUAACUAUGAGGAUCCUAAGGUAGCAAAAUCAGUUGGCCAUUAAAUGUGGUCCGGUAUCAAUAAUUUAACGAUGGUCUCACUGUCUCUACAACUUGCUCAGUGAAAUUGAAUUACGCGUGCAGAUGCGCGUUACUUACAGGGGGACGGGAAGACCCUAUGCAGCUUUACUGUAGUUAGUCAUCACAAAAAUCUAGAACAGCCUUUUUCAAUAGAAAAUAGGGAUGUCGAUAGACGAAAAUUUUUUGGAAACCUUAGGAUUAAGGCUGGGUUUUUGUUUAAUCCUUUCAUCUUGUAGAAAGAAAAGGAUAGAGCCGACUAAUUGGUAGUUUGACUGGGGCGGUCGUCUUUAAUAUAGUAUCAAAGUACAUCCAAAUUUAUAAUUUUUAUUUAAAAAAAAUAUUAAUUGCUUAUUUUUAAGCAGUUUUACGUCAUCUUAAUCUUAAAUUUCAAAUUUAUUUGAAGUUUGUGUAAUAAGUUUUUAAAAUAAAUUUUUCAAAGCUUCUAAAAACGAGAUCUUUUAGAAGUUAAUACAAAAUCCUUUGGGAUAAUAUUUGAUUUUUAUUAUUUUAAAAAUGUAACAAAAGGUAUUACUAGAAAAUGAAAGGAGAUCAAUCGACCAGUGAUAUGGUUGCGCAGAGUGUAAUGGCGGAAAGUAUACCUAACUGAAAGACCUAAAAGUCGCACAGAUACGUAAGUAGGGCAUAGUGACCCACAAUCUCUGUAUGGAGGGGGUUGUGAUCAAUUGAUAAAAGUUACGCUAGGGAUAACAGGCUGAUCCCGGAUGAGAGUACACAUUGUGUCCGGGGUUUGGCACCUCGAUGUCGACUCAACCACUCCUCUGGGUGAAGAAUCUCGGAAGGGUUCGGCUGUUCGCCGAUUAAAAGGUUACGUGAGUUGGGUUUAAUACGACGUAAGUCAGUAUGGUCCCUAUCUUCUGUAAGGAUAAAUAGUAAAAAGAGGCAGACCUUCUAGUACGAAAGGACCAAUAGGCUGGGUUUCUCUAGUGUACCAAUUGUUUAUACUAAAUAAAAGAUUUAAUCUUUACCCUUAAUUUUAUAUUAAGGUUAUUUGGGAAGGCAUAGUUGGGUAGCCACAAACCUAAUAGAUAAGUGCUGAUAGUCUAUCAAGCAAGAAUCUAACCUCUAGAUACUAAAAACUAAAAUUUUAAUCUUAAAAUUAUUAUUUAGUGGUGAAAUAAUCUACUAAUUUAGACUUUUAAUUUAUUACUAAUAAAUAUUAAAUUUAUAGGAUAAUUAGAAAUAGUUAAUCUAUUUUUUAAUAAUAUUAGUCUUGUUAAAUAAUAAUAAAAGUCUUGUUAAAUAAUUUAGAUUUAAUUUUUUUAGUGAAUUAAGAAAUAGAAUAUUUCUAAAUAGGCUGCAAAUGUAAGUACUGUAAGGUAUUAAGUUUAGCAGUACUAAUUUACAAUAAUAACUUGA
RNAcentral lists this ribosomal RNA (3576 nucleotides) under Schizophyllum commune. RNAcentral's name for it is "large subunit ribosomal RNA". The stretch from base 173 to 3318 matches the Rfam family "Bacterial large subunit ribosomal RNA". Lineage: Eukaryota; Fungi; Basidiomycota; Agaricomycetes; Agaricales; Schizophyllaceae. The record is from RNAcentral.